GACGAACGCUGGCGGCGUGCUUAACACAUGCAAGUCGAACGGAAAGGCCCUGCUUUUGUGGGGUGCUCGAGUGGCGAACGGGUGAGUAACACGUGAGUAACCUGUCCUUGACUUUGGGAUAACUUCAGGAAACUGGGGCUAAUACCGGAUAGGAGCUCCUGCUGCAUGGUGGGGGUUGGAGAGUUUCGGCGGUUGGGGAUGGAAUCGCGGCUUAUCAGCUUGUUGGUGGGGUAGUGGCUUACCAAGGCUUUGACGGGUAGCCGGCCUGAGAGGGUGACCGGCCACAUUGGGACUGAGAUACGGCCCAGACUCCUACGGGAGGCAGCAGUGAGGAAUAUUGCACAAUGGGCGGAAGCCGGAUGCAGCAACGCCGCGUGCGGGAUGACGGCCUUCGGGUUGUAAACCGCUUUCGCCUGUGACGAAGCGUGAGUGACGGUAAUGGGUAAAGAAGCACCGGCUAACUACGUG
RNAcentral lists this ribosomal RNA (468 nucleotides) under uncultured bacterium. Its description in RNAcentral is "partial 16S ribosomal RNA". It matches the Rfam family "Bacterial small subunit ribosomal RNA", at positions 28 to 507 of the family's 1533-position model. The record is from RNAcentral.